RNAcentral lists this transfer RNA (76 nucleotides) under Candidatus Aenigmatarchaeota archaeon. RNAcentral describes it as "tRNA-Asp". It matches the Rfam family "tRNA". Rfam says of the family: Transfer RNA (tRNA) molecules are approximately 80 nucleotides in length. Their secondary structure includes four short double-helical elements and three loops (D, anti-codon, and T loops). The record is from RNAcentral. Lineage: Archaea; Nanobdellati; Candidatus Aenigmatarchaeota.
GCGGGUGUGGUCUAGCCCGGUUUAAGACACGGCACUGUCACUGCCGAGAUCACGGGUUCAAAUCCCGUCACCCGCG